RNAcentral lists this ribosomal RNA (419 nucleotides) under bacterium. RNAcentral describes it as "partial 16S ribosomal RNA". It matches the Rfam family "Bacterial small subunit ribosomal RNA", at positions 355 to 776 of the family's 1533-position model. The record is from RNAcentral.
UGGGGGAUAUUGCACAAUGGGCGAAAGCCUGAUGCAGCGACGCCGCGUGGGGGAUGAAGGCCUUCGGGUUGUAAACUUCUUUUGCUCUGAACAAGGCAUGCUAAUGGGUGUGUUGAGUGUAGGGGUUGAUUAGCGCCGGCUAACUACGUGCCAGCAGCCGCGGUAAUACGUAGGGCGCGAGCGUUGUCCGGAAUUAUUGGGCGUAAAGGGCUUGUAGGUGGCUGGUUGCGUCUGUCGUGAAAGCUCAUGGCUUAACUGUGGGUUUGCGGUGGGUAAUGGCUGGCUUGAGUGCAGUAGGGGAGGCUGGAAUUCCUGGUGUAGCGGUGGAAUGCGCAGAUAUCAGGAGGAAUACCGGUGGCGAAGGCGGGGCUCUGGGCUGUUACUGACACUGAGGAGCGAAAGCAUGGGGAGCGAACAGG